AGAGUUUGAUCCUGGCUCAGAAUCAACGCUGGCGGCGUGCCUCAGACAUGCAAGUCGAACGAUUAAAGCUCUCUUCGGAGAGUGCAUAGAGUGGCGCACGGGUGAGUAACACGUAAGUAACCUACCUUCGAGUGGGGAAUAACGUCCGGAAACGGACGCUAAUACCGCAUAAUGCAGCGGCAUCGCAAGAUGACAGUUGUUAAAGAUUUAUCGCUUGAAGAGGAGCUUGCGGCAGAUUAGCUAGUUGGUAAGGUAAUGGCUUACCAAGGCUACGAUCUGUAACCGGUCUUAGAGGACGGUCGGUCACACUGACACUGAAUAACGGGUCAGACUCCUACGGGAGGCAGCAGUCGGGAAUUUUGGGCAAUGGGCGAAAGCCUGACCCAGCAACGCCGCGUGAAGGAUGAAGUAUUUCGGUAUGUAAACUUCGAAAGAAUGGGAAGAAUCAAUGACGGUACCAUUUAUAAGGUCCGGCUAACUACGUGCCAGCAGCCGCGGUAAUACGUAGGGACCAAGCGUUGUUCGGAUUUACUGGGCGUAAAGGGCGCGUAGGCGGCUUUGUAAGUCACUUGUGAAAUCUCCGGGCUUAACUCGGAACGGCCAAGUGAUACUGCAAAGCUAGAGUGCAGAAGGGGCAAUCGGAAUUCUUGGUGUAGCGGUGAAAUGCGUAGAUAUCAAGAGGAACACCUGAGGUGAAGACGGGUUGCUGGGCUGACACUGACGCUGAGGCGCGAAAGCCAGGGGAGCAAACGGGAUUAGAUACCCCGGUAGUCCUGGCCCUAAACGAUGAAUACUUGGUG
RNAcentral lists this ribosomal RNA (800 nucleotides) under uncultured bacterium. RNAcentral's name for it is "bacterial SSU rRNA". It matches the Rfam family "Bacterial small subunit ribosomal RNA", at positions 8 to 822 of the family's 1533-position model. The record is from RNAcentral.